CUGGGGUGGUAGAGUAGGAAGCCGUUACUGGACAGGGUCACGUAUUUCUUCUUCCAUUCUUUGUUCAAGGAGUUGCCACUUCGCUUCAGUAGGAAGCUCUGGAGUACGGAAAGAGACAUGUCUGAACUCCAGUCCCCG
Leopardus geoffroyi (Geoffroy's cat) is the source of this 138-nucleotide long non-coding RNA. RefSeq lists it as uncharacterized. Lineage: Eukaryota; Metazoa; Chordata; Mammalia; Carnivora; Felidae. The transcript is spliced from 3 exons. The record is from RefSeq and is a predicted model, not a curated record.